This 1528-nucleotide ribosomal RNA is filed under the name Klebsiella pneumoniae. RNAcentral's name for it is "bacterial SSU rRNA". It matches the Rfam family "Bacterial small subunit ribosomal RNA". Lineage: Bacteria; Pseudomonadati; Pseudomonadota; Gammaproteobacteria; Enterobacterales; Enterobacteriaceae. The record is from RNAcentral.
AGAGUUUGAUCAUGGCUCAGAUUGAACGCUGGCGGCAGGCCUAACACAUGCAAGUCGAGCGGUAGCACAGAGAGCUUGCUCUCGGGUGACGAGCGGCGGACGGGUGAGUAAUGUCUGGGAAACUGCCUGAUGGAGGGGGAUAACUACUGGAAACGGUAGCUAAUACCGCAUAACGUCGCAAGACCAAAGUGGGGGACCUUCGGGCCUCAUGCCAUCAGAUGUGCCCAGAUGGGAUUAGCUAGUAGGUGGGGUAACGGCUCACCUAGGCGACGAUCCCUAGCUGGUCUGAGCGGAUGACCAGCCACACUGGAACUGAGACACGGUCCAGACUCCUACGGGAGGCAGCAGUGGGGAAUAUUGCACAAUGGGCGCAAGCCUGAUGCAGCCAUGCCGCGUGUGUGAAGAAGGCCUUCGGGUUGUAAAGCACUUUCAGCGGGGAGGAAGGCGUUAAGGUUAAUAACCUCAUCGAUUGACGUUACCCGCAGAAGAAGCACCGGCUAACUCCGUGCCAGCAGCCGCGGUAAUACGGAGGGUGCAAGCGUUAAUCGGAAUUACUGGGCGUAAAGCGCACGCAGGCGGUCUGUCAAGUCGGAUGUGAAAUCCCCGGGCUCAACCUGGGAACUGCAUUCGAAACUGGCAGGCUAGAGUCUUGUAGAGGGGGGUAGAAUUCCAGGUGUAGCGGUGAAAUGCGUAGAGAUCUGGAGGAAUACCGGUGGCGAAGGCGGCCCCCUGGACAAAGACUGACGCUCAGGUGCGAAAGCGUGGGGAGCAAACAGGAUUAGAUACCCUGGUAGUCCACGCCGUAAACGAUGUCGAUUUGGAGGUUGUGCCCUUGAGGCGUGGCUUCCGGAGCUAACGCGUUAAAUCGACCGCCUGGGGAGUACGGCCGCAAGGUUAAAACUCAAAUGAAUUGACGGGGGCCCGCACAAGCGGUGGAGCAUGUGGUUUAAUUCGAUGCAACGCGAAGAACCUUACCUGGUCUUGACAUCCACAGAACUUAGCAGAGAUGCUUUGGUGCCUUCGGGAACUGUGAGACAGGUGCUGCAUGGCUGUCGUCAGCUCGUGUUGUGAAAUGUUGGGUUAAGUCCCGCAACGAGCGCAACCCUUAUCCUUUGUUGCCAGCGGUCCGGCCGGGAACUCAAAGGAGACUGCCAGUGAUAAACUGGAGGAAGGUGGGGAUGACGUCAAGUCAUCAUGGCCCUUACGACCAGGGCUACACACGUGCUACAAUGGCAUAUACAAAGAGAAGCGACCUCGCGAGAGCAAGCGGACCUCAUAAAGUAUGUCGUAGUCCGGAUUGGAGUCUGCAACUCGACUCCAUGAAGUCGGAAUCGCUAGUAAUCGUAGAUCAGAAUGCUACGGUGAAUACGUUCCCGGGCCUUGUACACACCGCCCGUCACACCAUGGGAGUGGGUUGCAAAAGAAGUAGGUAGCUUAACCUUCGGGAGGGCGCUUACCACUUUGUGAUUCAUGACUGGGGUGAAGUCGUAACAAGGUAACCGUAGGGGAACCUGCGGUUGGAUCACCU